UUAGAGGAAGCCAUUACAGAUUCAGAAGAGACAGGAGGAAUGGACUUACCAGAGGAGACAUUCAGAGGUGCUGAAGCUUUGGUGCCAGAGGUUUCUCCAAUUCUGGCUUUCUUUGCCUUCCUUGCUUCCUCAGCUAUCUUCUUCUCAGAAAGGCCUCUUUUGUAUCUGACCAGAUCUUCUACAGAGUCCAGACAGUCUUC
This 200-nucleotide long non-coding RNA is filed under the name Lathyrus oleraceus (garden pea). RNAcentral describes it as "Pisum sativum (pea) long non-coding RNA (PSAT_LNC006758)". Lineage: Eukaryota; Viridiplantae; Streptophyta; Magnoliopsida; Fabales; Fabaceae. The record is from RNAcentral.